This 393-nucleotide long non-coding RNA is filed under the name Chinchilla lanigera (long-tailed chinchilla). Its description in RNAcentral is "lncRNA (ENSCLAG00000026487.1)". The record is from RNAcentral. Lineage: Eukaryota; Metazoa; Chordata; Mammalia; Rodentia; Chinchillidae.
UUAGUUUAAUGAUAAUUUUAGCAAGAAUUUCCUGUCUUUCUGCUUUUGUACAAUCUCCUUAACUCUUCUCCAUCCUUCAACUCUCAAACUUUCUUUCCGUCUCUCUCCACACUGGUUAAGUGCUCAUCCUUCCUCUAAUAAUACAGUGGCUUGUGUUUGUGCCUCACCAGAGAGAGGGCCUCAAGAGCAGAAUGGAGUCAUUCAUCUCUGUACCAAGGACCAAGCCCAGUGCCGUGGUUACUGGUGCCACUUGACUAGAGUGUGUCAGGUAGCAGAGUGCAGAAGUGACUGACUGAACUUGACUUCCUGCUCCGAACAAAGGUAACUCAUGAAAGAAACUGUAAAGAUCCAGACAUAUGAUCAAAUACCGACCAAAUUCUACCAUUUAAACUU